RNAcentral lists this transfer RNA (74 nucleotides) under Planctomycetaceae bacterium. RNAcentral describes it as "tRNA-Ile". It matches the Rfam family "tRNA". From Rfam's summary of the family: Transfer RNA (tRNA) molecules are approximately 80 nucleotides in length. Their secondary structure includes four short double-helical elements and three loops (D, anti-codon, and T loops). Further hydrogen bonds mediate the characteristic L-shaped molecular structure. tRNAs have two regions of fundamental functional importance: the anti-codon, which is responsible for specific mRNA codon recognition, and the 3' end, to which the tRNAs corresponding amino acid is attached (by aminoacyl-tRNA synthetases). tRNAs cope with the degeneracy of the genetic code in two manners: having more than one tRNA (with a specific anti-codon) for a particular amino acid; and 'wobble' base-pairing, i.e. permitting non-standard base-pairing at the 3rd anti-codon position. The record is from RNAcentral. Lineage: Bacteria; Pseudomonadati; Planctomycetota; Planctomycetia; Planctomycetales; Planctomycetaceae.
GGGGCCGUAGCUCAGUUGGUUAGAGCAGGCGACUCAUAAUCGCUUGGUCGCGGGUUCGAGUCCUGCCGGCCCUA